UACGGAGGAUGCAAGCGUUAUCCGGAAUGAUUGGGCGUAAAGCGUCCGCAGGUGGCUAUGUAAGUCUGCUGUUAAAGAGUGAGGCUCAACCUCAUAAGAGCAGUGGAAACUACAUGGCUAGAGUGCGUUCGGGGCAGAGGGAAUUCCUGGUGUAGCGGUGAAAUGCGUAGAGAUCAGGAAGAACACCGGUGGCGAAAGCGGCGCGCUGGACCUCUUCUGACGCUGAGGCGCGAAAGCCAGGGGAGCGAACGGG
RNAcentral lists this ribosomal RNA (253 nucleotides) under uncultured bacterium. Its description in RNAcentral is "partial 16S ribosomal RNA". It matches the Rfam family "Bacterial small subunit ribosomal RNA", at positions 524 to 776 of the family's 1533-position model. The record is from RNAcentral.